RNA transcript from Argentina anserina (silverweed cinquefoil), 2383 nucleotides. It is a transcript of the gene named transcription initiation factor TFIID subunit 14b-like, with no coding region annotated. NCBI's taxonomy places the organism in Eukaryota, Viridiplantae, Streptophyta, Magnoliopsida, Rosales, Rosaceae. The transcript is spliced from 2 exons. The record is from RefSeq and is a predicted model, not a curated record.
AUGUCCGACCAUUUCCCUCUAUACAGAACACAAAGUUCUGAUAUUAUUCCUCGUUAUAUGCACCACAUUUCUCAAACCAAGAAUCAAAUCGCCCUUAAGAAGCUCCAUGCACACCUUCUAACAACAGGCUUGCUUUUCAUAUCCCCUCAUUUUCACUCUAAACUCAUCAUUUCAUACUCCAAAUGCCUUCCCCAACACAACAACCUUCUGACACUGACCAACUUCUUCAAAUGCGUAAAAUCGCAAAGCGUACUACCAUUCAAUGUGUUAUUAUCCGACUGGUGCCGAAAUGGGUUUAAUUCACAUGCUCUCAAAACCUUGUCAUUCAUGCACAGUAGCCUUGUUCCUAUCGAUACCUCUGCUCUUUGUAGUUCCUUAACUGCUGCAUCUUCUAUCAAAGAUGUUGGCUUCGGUAGAGGGAUCCAGGCCCAUGUGGUAAAGUCAGGGUGGUGCUCCAGUGUCUUUGUUGGGAGUGCUCUGAUUGACUUGUAUGCGAAGUCAUUGCUUAUUGGAGAUGCAGACAAAGUGUUUGAUGAAAUGCCGAUGAGAAAUACUGUUUGCGCAAAUGCGCUUUUAUCGGGUUACGGUGAUGCCAAGUUGUGGGCUGAGGGAGUGGAGUUGUUACGGAAGAUGCCGGCACUGAGUAUGGAGUAUGAUCACUUCACUUUGUCCGCAGCAUUACGCGCCUGUGCUGGGCUAGCUGCUGUUGAAUUGGGUAGGCAGGUACAUGGCUAUUUGAUCCGUUCUGUUUGUGAUGUGGGGAGCGAUGUGUUUCUGUUGAGUUCCUUGAUUGAAAUGUAUGGUAAAUGUGGGAUGGUAGCAAAGGCUUGGCGAGUUUUCGAGUUUGCUGGAAAAGGAGAGGGGAAAAGAGAUGUGGUUAUGUGGACUUCACUUCUUGGUGUGUACGGUAGGAACGGAUACUAUAAAGAGGUAAUUGAACUGUUUACAGAUAUGUUGAUGGAAGGAAUUAAUCCAGAUGGGGUGGCGUUUGUGACGGUCAUCUCAGCUUGUGCUCAUACCGGUCAUUUGCAGCUCGGCAUUGAGUAUUUUGAGUCCAUGGAACUCGAGUUCAACUUGAAACCAAAUCCAGAACAUUACAACUGUCUAGUUGAUUUGUUCUGUAGGGCUGGUGAAUUGGGCAAGGCCUGGAAGCUUGUUGAUGAGUUGCUUAGUAAAGAUAACAGCAGCUGCACUGUUCCUAUGUGGGGAGAUUUGCUUAAUGGUUGCAAAGAUCAAGAUGAUCUUGAAUUGGGUAAAAUGGCUGCACAAGGGGCACUUGAGUUGAAUCCUCAUAAUGAUGGUAUUUAUGUCCUGCUGUCGAAUUUGUAUGCCAAAUUCGGAAUGUGGGAUGAGAUUGACCAUUUGAGGGGAUUGAUGAAAGAAAAGGGUUUAAGGAAAGAUGUCGCAUAUAGCCGGAUAGAAGUCACAAAUUGAUUAGCCUAAGUUCGAGUGUGUGAAUAAGCGAUGCAGAGUAUGGGGAUGGGUUUGCUGAAACUCCCCUCAACCUUUUGUCCUUUUGGCAUCAUAUUUUAGAAAGGAGAGGUUGAGGCAGAUUACAAUGCAUGUAGAAGCCAUGGGACUGCUUACUUUCAAGUUUUCAAUUUCAAGCAUCAUCUCCUUCAGAACAAUUUCAAUGCUUCCUUUAUCAGGUCACUGUCCCCAUCAUCUAUUCGAAUGAAUGCAAACUGUAGAAACAGGACAGACCUAGUGUAUUCUUCAUGGCAGUGUUCUUCAUGUAUUAGCAUAGGCAGCUUCCAAGGUACGAAUUCAGUUUCCUAAUGCAACAAUGUGUGCAAGUGAAUAGGCAAUUCUUAAAGCAUGACUACGGCCCAAAGCUUGCGAAACAGGAGCCUAUUCUGGAACCAUCCACAGAAGGCAGAGCCGCAGAGGCUUCACUGAAGGGUGUUAUGGUAAUUUAAACUGAAUAUAUUCUAAUUGGAGUGACUGAAGUACCCCUUUCUGCUCAGUAUAAGUGGUCGGCAAGGAGACAAAUCGAAAUACAGUCGUCGCAUACGAUAGCAGCUCGAGGGAAGCUUCGACACCGCAGUGGUCUGCAACUUGGCGCCAGAAACCCUAAAGAGUAAAGAGUAAAGAGAGAAGAGCUCUCUCUGUCUGCAAGGACACAUGAGCAAUAUUUGAUCUACCAUAAUGGAUGGUCCAGACCAGCCUGACACCAGCGCCCCCACCCCAAAACCUCAGCGCGCCAAGAUGGUUAAACUCGAAGACACUGAAAAGAAGGUACCAAUCACAUAAGUGGACUGUGUAUGUUCGUGGGGCAACAAAUGAGGAUCUUGGAGUGGUGAUAAAGCGUGUUGUUUUCCAGUUGCAUUCCAGUUUCAACAAUCCCACUAGGGUGGUUGAGUCACCGCCAUUUGAGUUAUCA